AGUGCCUGUUAAGCAGGUGGGGAAAGAAUCAGAUCAAUGCAAGGAACACGAUGUGUGUGAGGCUCCCUCAUAGGGCCUGUAGACCUGCCCGUGCUCCCAGAUGCUCGGACGAGGCUGGAAUCCUAAGGCCUCCGAGGAGAACGGCUUGGCCCAAAGACAGAGGUGGUGGCUUUUCCCAUGCUGGGGUGAUUUUAGGGGAAGGGGACCUUCCUUAUGGAUGUAUCCUUUAGAUCCAGAUUGUCUGCUAUGAAACACGCCUGAAGAGCCAGCAUUAAAUCAUUGUUCUGAGGUCCUCACUCUGUCUGGAGUCCUUUCUCCAAACAAAUAUGCCUGCAAGAAGGAAACCACCAGAGCGACGGGCCGUCUUCCUGGAAGGCAGCAGAGAAUGGCCCUUGUGGGCCUGGGGAGGAGUAGGGGGAACUGAAAGGGGGGCAUGAGGGCCUCAGUGUUCUUCCCAAGACGUCUGGGGGAGUAUAUUUGAUUGGAUGCUAUCUGUGUUGUCAUCUCUGCUGGGUUUUCCUGCUCUUCUCUGCUAGUAUCUGACGGAGAACAGAAAAGGAUGACGGAGAAGGGGGCGUGGGCGGAUGGGGGCGGAGGAGGGAGCGUCUGCCUAGCUUGGGUAGAGAGGGAAGGUCUCACCUGGCACACAUGUGUGCACAGGCACACACACACACACACACACACACACACACACACACACACACCCUGCACCAUUUCGAGAGAAUAACAGUGCCACCUGCUGGUUCUUUCUGUGCAAAGACGUCUCCACACCUUCCCUGAGGAGGCGGCGGCCCAGAAAGUGAGCCAAGCCGUGAAUGUGCCUUACAGCGUUCCCGGCGGUGCUCCGGGCCAGAGAGACAAGACUCCGCGCACAGACUCCCUGCGGAAAGUCUGGCUUCUCGGUGUCUUAGAACCCUGGCAUUGUCCUUCUAGCAACAGGCUUGAGGAGCAGAGGUGUGGUCUCUCCAGUAACAGCUCAUCUGGCUCUGUUGUAAUUAAACAAAGUGACAUCCGUCUGCAACACUGAGUCCCCACCCCCA
Long non-coding RNA from Mustela erminea (ermine), 1040 nucleotides. RefSeq lists it as uncharacterized. The transcript is spliced from 3 exons. NCBI's taxonomy places the organism in Eukaryota, Metazoa, Chordata, Mammalia, Carnivora, Mustelidae. The record is from RefSeq and is a predicted model, not a curated record.